This is a long non-coding RNA of Triplophysa dalaica, 548 nucleotides long. RefSeq lists it as uncharacterized. NCBI's taxonomy places the organism in Eukaryota, Metazoa, Chordata, Actinopteri, Cypriniformes, Nemacheilidae. The record is from RefSeq and is a predicted model, not a curated record. The transcript has 3 exons.
UGUGUAUAUCUGUAAAAAAUAAAUGCUGGAUACAGGCAUAGUUUGUUCUCUCAUGUUUUGUAUUUCUCCAGCUUUCCAUCAAGAAGAUAUACCAUCCGACGAAUAUGGAACUGUUUAAUUCAAGAUGCAUAGAUUCAAAGCCUUAACAGGCAAGGUCAAGGAGCAGCUUACCCUCUCGUCUCCGUCAGUCCGCAUGGAGUUAUGAAUGGAUUUGAUAGGGAACGCAGACGACAGACUGGCGGCAACAUCACGGCGAUGUCAUGGUACGUCUUUGUCAGGGGUGCUGGUUGACAAGAGCCUCGGACAACAGGAUACAAAUCAAAAGGUACUUUAAAUACAAAAACCAAAAGGAAAACAAGGAACCAUGAACACACCACUAGGUAACAUUAACAAUACUGGACAAAGAACUAAGGAACACACAGGGCUUAAAUACAUAAGGAAGACACUCCGGGAAAACAGGAUCAGGUGCGGGACUAAUCAACAAAGAUGAGGGACAGGUGAAAAGACAUGAACUCAUCAUGAAACAAGUGAAAACAGGCAAGGAAACA